This 67-nucleotide transfer RNA is filed under the name Dendronotus frondosus (frond-aeolis). RNAcentral describes it as "tRNA-Trp". Lineage: Eukaryota; Metazoa; Mollusca; Gastropoda; Nudibranchia; Dendronotidae. The record is from RNAcentral.
GAGGUUAUAGGUUAAAUGUUAUUAAACCAUGGGCCUUCAAAGCCCGGAAUGAGUGUUUCUAACCUCG